GUUGAAAAGAAUGCGUGAUUGGAAUCCAGCAAGGAUUAUUUGUGGCUGUCAAAUAAAACGUGAAACAAACAUUCUCGCCUUUUGUAUAUCUUAAAAUCUAAGGCUAGACUAAAGGCUUUGCUGGUAUUAGUAACAAGAGACAAGUAGCAGAUAAGAACAGUUUCACGCUUUAGCCAUUUACUGGUAAGCCUAUAUACCGCUAUUCGUAAUUAAACCGCGUUUUUUUUUGUUUUUGGCGGUUCGGAAUUUGCAAUUUGGAUGGGGGGGGGGGUCGAUUUUUAAUAAAUUCUAAUCGAUAUCUUAUAUAAGUAUUGCUAAUUAAAAGAUUAUCGUCGUCUGCAAGUUUUUUUUCGUUUUCGUUUGCAAGUUUCGAAAAAAAGGGAGACAAAUAAAAAGAUUUCAAAUAAAAACGAAACGAUCACUUUUUGGGACUUGGAUGCCCGAAAUGAAAUCACAAAAAUGUGGUCAUCGUCAUACAUGUCAACUUUAUUGUCGCAGCUUUCCAUUAUCUUCACUCCAUGCUGUUUGUCAGAUUUGGGGCCUGAGCCAGCCAUUGUAUUAACAGCAAAGUUUUGCUUGUGCUGAUCCUCCAGUCAUAUGAUUUGACUUUUUACCUCCUGCUGUCAGCAACAAUCACAGUAUCAUUGCUGAGAUAAACAGCAUCCUUUUAAUUGGAGAAACUUCCAGUAUCGACCGAGUUAAGAAUCUCUUCAAUUCCCCGUUCUUUUGUUUUUGUCCUCGUGUACGCCCAUGUGAAUGUGGGUGUAUUCACGAGGACUCCCUUUUACUUAUCCCUCCU
Long non-coding RNA from Daphnia pulicaria, 799 nucleotides. RefSeq lists it as uncharacterized. The transcript is spliced from 3 exons. The record is from RefSeq and is a predicted model, not a curated record. NCBI's taxonomy places the organism in Eukaryota, Metazoa, Arthropoda, Branchiopoda, Diplostraca, Daphniidae.